UACGUAGGUCCCGAGCGUUGUCCGGAUUUAUUGGGCGUAAAGCGAGCGCAGCUGGUUUAUUAAGUCUGGUGUAAAAGGCAGUGGCUCAACCAUUGUAUGCAUUGGAAACUGGUAGACUUGAGUGCAGGAGAGGAGAGUGGAAUUCCAUGUGUAGCGGUGAAAUGCGUAGAUAUAUGGAGGAACACCGGUGGCGAAAGCGGCUCUCUGGCCUGUAACUGACACUGAGGCUCGAAAGCGUGGGGAGUAAACAGG
RNAcentral lists this ribosomal RNA (252 nucleotides) under uncultured bacterium. RNAcentral describes it as "partial 16S ribosomal RNA". It matches the Rfam family "Bacterial small subunit ribosomal RNA", at positions 524 to 776 of the family's 1533-position model. The record is from RNAcentral.